UACGAAGGGGGCUAGCGUUGCUCGGAAUGACUGGGCGUAAAGGGCGCGUAGGCGGACAUCUUUGUCGGGCGUGAAAUUCCAGGGCUUAACCUUGGGGCUGCGUUCGAGACGGGGUGUCUUGAGUGGGGAAGAGGGUCGUGGAAUUCCCAGUGUAGAGGUGAAAUUCGUAGAUAUUGGGAAGGACACCGGUGGCGAAGGCGG
RNAcentral lists this ribosomal RNA (201 nucleotides) under uncultured bacterium. Its description in RNAcentral is "partial 16S ribosomal RNA". It matches the Rfam family "Bacterial small subunit ribosomal RNA", at positions 524 to 724 of the family's 1533-position model. The record is from RNAcentral.